This 429-nucleotide ribosomal RNA is filed under the name bacterium. Its description in RNAcentral is "partial 16S ribosomal RNA". It matches the Rfam family "Bacterial small subunit ribosomal RNA", at positions 355 to 776 of the family's 1533-position model. The record is from RNAcentral.
UGGGGAAUUUUGGACAAUGGGCGCAAGCCUGAUCCAGCCAUGCCGCGUGUCUGAAGAAGGCCUACGGGUUGUAAAGGACUUUUGUCAGGGAAGAAAAGGACAGGGUUAAUACCCCUGUCUGAUGACGGUACCUGAAGAAUAAGCACCGGCUAACUACGUGCCAGCAGCCGCGGUAAUACGUAGGGUGCGAGCGUUAAUCGGAAUUACUGGGCGUAAAGCGAGCGCAGACGGUUACUUAAGCAGGAUGUGAAAUCCCCGGGCUCAACCUGGGAACUGCGUUCUGAACUGGGUGACUAGAGUGUGUCAGAGGGAGGUAGAAUUCCACGUGUAGCAGUGAAAUGCGUAGAGAUGUGGAGGAAUACCGAUGGCGAAGGCAGCCUCCUGGGAUAACACUGACGUUCAUGCUCGAAAGCGUGGGUAGCAAACAGG